AUACGUUUCCCUCCAGGUGUAAAACUCAGAAAUUUGUUGAAAAAUAUCUUACAGAGACCGAAAUUUACUUUCAAAACAAUUGGCUCAGUGUACUUCUUUGUUUUGUCUAUUGUUGAAGACUGAAUAAUGCUCCUAUAAGUCGUUAGGUUUUCAUUGUCGUUGGGUUACGUUCAGCUCGUUAUUAAUAUUAAUAGGAAUGUCACACUUUUAUGUACAUCGACUGAAUUAACUUUUCAUCAAGCAUGAAAAAAAUCUAUAUGGAAAGUAUGUAUAUAUAAAUGUUUGAAAAUUUAGUUGUCAUAAGAACCCUACAAGACAUAUACAUGUAUAAGUGUAAAUUAAGUCCAGUAAUUUAUUAUUUAUUCAUAUUGGACAUCGAUUAAAGACAACUACAAUCAAUCGGACGUCGUUUUCGCAAAACAUGACGUCACAUUAAAGACGUCGAUUAGAGUAUCAAACUAUUGGACGUCGAUUUGAGAAUGUG
This 484-nucleotide long non-coding RNA is filed under the name Mytilus galloprovincialis (Mediterranean mussel). The record is from RNAcentral. Lineage: Eukaryota; Metazoa; Mollusca; Bivalvia; Mytilida; Mytilidae.